AUUGAACGCUGGCGGCAGGCCUAACACAUGCAAGUCGAACGAGUGGCGGACGGGUGAGUAAUGUCUGGGAAACUGCCUGAUGGAGGGGGAUAACUACUGGAAACGGUAGCUAAUACCGCAUACCAUCAGAUGUGCCCAGAUGGGAGUAGCUAGUUGGUGGGGUAACGGAUAGCCAAGGCGACGAGCCCUAGCUGGGCUGAGAGGAGGACAAGCCACACUGGAACUGAGACACGGUCCAGACGCCUACGGGAGGCAGCAGGGUGGAAUUUUGCACAAUGGGCGCAAGCCUGAUGCAGCCAUGCCGCGUGUAUGAAGAAGGCCUUCGGGUUGUAAAGUACUUUCAGCGGGGAGGCGUUACCCGCAGAAGAAGCACCGGCUAACUCCGUGCCAGCAGCCGCGGUAAUUC
Molecule: ribosomal RNA, 406 nt
Filed under: uncultured bacterium
Lineage: Bacteria
Description: partial 16S ribosomal RNA
Rfam family: Bacterial small subunit ribosomal RNA
Source: RNAcentral